Molecule: ribosomal RNA, 420 nt
Filed under: uncultured bacterium
Lineage: Bacteria
Description: bacterial SSU rRNA
Rfam family: Bacterial small subunit ribosomal RNA
Source: RNAcentral
GACGAACGCUGGCGGCGUGCUUAACACAUGCAAGUCGAACGGAAAGGCCUCUUUCGGGGGUACUCGAGUGGCGAACGGGUGAGUAACACGUGAGUAACCUGCCCUUGGACUUUGGGAUAACUUCAGGAAACUGGGGCUAAUACCGGAUAGGAGCUCCUGCUGCAUGGUGGGGGUUGGAAAGUUUCGGCGGUUGGGGAUGGACUCGCGGCUUAUCAGCUUGUUGGUGGGGUAUGGCUUACCAAGGCUUUGACGGGUAGCCGGCCUGAGAGGGUGACCGGCCACAUUGGGACUGAGAUACGGCCCAGACUCCUACGGGAGGCAGCAGUGGGAAUAUUGCACAAUGGGUGGAAGCCUGAUGCAGCAACGCCGUGUGCGGGAUGACGGCCUUCGGGUUGUAACCGCUUUCGCUCAUGACGAAGC